Molecule: ribosomal RNA, 399 nt
Filed under: Mesotaenium berggrenii
Lineage: Eukaryota; Viridiplantae; Streptophyta; Zygnematophyceae; Zygnematales; Mesotaeniaceae
Description: partial small subunit ribosomal RNA
Rfam family: Eukaryotic small subunit ribosomal RNA
Source: RNAcentral
GCUUGUCUCAAAGAUUAAGCCAUGCAUGUCUAAGUAUAAACGACUUUAUACUGUGAAACUGCGAAUGGCUCAUUAUAUCAGUUAUAGUUUAUUUGAUGGUCCUUGCUACUUGGAUAACCGUAGUAAUUCUAGAGCUAAUACAUGCAUCAAGCCCCGACUUCUGGAAGGGGUGUAUUUAUUAGAUGGAAACCAAUGCGGGGCAACCCGGUAUAUGGUGAUUCAUAAUAACUCCUCGAAUCGCAUGGCCUUGCGCCGGCGAUGUUUCAUUCAAAUUUCUGCCCUAUCAAUUUGAUGGUAGGAUAGAGGCCUACCAUGGUGGUAACGGGUGACGGAGAAUUAGGGUUCGAUUCCGGAGAGGGAGCCUGAGAAAUGGCUACCACAUCCAAGGAAGGCAGCAGG